CAGCCGCCGCGGUAAUACGAGGGGGGCAAGCGUUGUUCGGAUUUAUUGGGCGUAAAGGGUGCGUAGGCGGUUUGGCAAGUCUCGUGUGAAAUCUAUGGGCUCAACCCAUAGCCUGCACGAGAAACUACCGGGCUUGAGUAUUGGAGAGGUGAGUGGAAUUUCCGGUGUAGCGGUGAAAUGCGUAGAUAUCGGAAGGAACACCUGUGGCGAAAGCGGCUCACUGGACAAUAACUGACGCUGAUGCACGAAAGCUAGGGGAGCAAACAGGAUUAGAUACCCCCGUAGUCCCUGUCUCUUAUAU
This 301-nucleotide ribosomal RNA is filed under the name uncultured bacterium. Its description in RNAcentral is "partial 16S ribosomal RNA". It matches the Rfam family "Bacterial small subunit ribosomal RNA", at positions 509 to 809 of the family's 1533-position model. The record is from RNAcentral.